RNAcentral lists this long non-coding RNA (425 nucleotides) under Taeniopygia guttata (zebra finch). RNAcentral's name for it is "lncRNA (ENSTGUG00000027251.1)". The record is from RNAcentral. Lineage: Eukaryota; Metazoa; Chordata; Aves; Passeriformes; Estrildidae.
CGGUGAUAAAAAAAAAAAAGGGAGAGAAAUGAUAAAAGAAAUGUUUUGUAUUUUUUUGGGGGGGGUGGGGAAAGGGGGAGGGGGUGUCUCGAGUGUUUUUCCCCUUCAGGGAAGCAGCAAAACGCAGGGAAAAAAGGCAAAAAAACGGUGAGAAAAAGCCGAGGAAAGGGAAAAAAAAGAGAGGAUUUAACCAAAAAAGGCCAGUCUGCACUCAAAACGCGCUCAGGAGAUUCCGACAGGGAUUUGAGGAGAAAACCCCCAGAGCUGGGGAAUGCAGAGAACCGCAAGUGAGAGGAGGCAGCAGCAGCUUUGGCUGCUUUCCCCCCCCCCCCCAAAAAAACCCCAAAAUUGCUAAAAUUGCUUCAGAAUGCGCUGCUCGUAGGGCCCGCCCCCAAGCUGGGAAUUGAAACAAAACCCAGGGUUUU